This 338-nucleotide small nuclear RNA is filed under the name Erinaceus europaeus (western European hedgehog). RNAcentral's name for it is "7SK RNA". It matches the Rfam family "7SK RNA". From Rfam's summary of the family: 7SK was discovered as an abundant small nuclear RNA in the mid-70s but a possible function has only recently been suggested. Two independent studies have found that 7SK RNA binds the CDK9/cyclin T complex (known as elongation factor P-TEFb). The record is from Rfam by way of RNAcentral. Lineage: Eukaryota; Metazoa; Chordata; Mammalia; Eulipotyphla; Erinaceidae.
GGAUGUGAGGGCGAUCUGGCUGCAACAUCUGUCACCCCAUUGAUCACCAGGGUUGAUUCACAGCUGAUCUAGCUGGCUAGGCUCCUCCCUCACUACUCCAUGUGCAUUCCUCCCCAAGCUGCGGGCUAGGUCAAAGAGGACCUCCUUCCCCGAAUAGAGACCAGUCUUUGGUGUAGGGUAUAGCUGCACUCCCCUGCUAGAACCUCCAAACAAGCUCUCUGUCUCCUCCUUCCCUCUCGAUUUCUGGCUGUUUCUAUCCAAUAAAUAAAGAUUAAAAAAAUACAAGAAUAUAAAACAUUUUAAUUUUGUCACUAAUAUGAGUUAGAGUAUCUGUCAAU